UGCUUUUGAAACUGCUAAGCUUGAGUACUGUAGGGGAUAGCGGAAUUCCUAGUGUAGGGGUGAAAUUCGUAGAUAUUAGGAGGAACACCGGAGGCGAAAGCGGUUAUCUGGGCAGUGACUGACGCUGUUGCACGAAAGCGUGGGGAGCAAACAGGAUUAGAUACCCUGGUAGUCCACGCAGUAAACGAUGAGUGCUAGAUGUUGGGAUUUAUCUCUCAGUGUCGCAGCUAACGCAUUAAGCACUCCGCCUGGGGAGUACGGUCGCAAGAUUAAAACUCAAAGGAAUUGACGGGGACCCGCACAAGCGGUGGAACAUGUGGUUUAAUUCGAUGCUACGCGAAGAACCUUACCAGGCCUUGACAUGGUGAUCAUAUGGUUGUGAAAGC
This 386-nucleotide ribosomal RNA is filed under the name Candidatus Midichloria mitochondrii. RNAcentral's name for it is "bacterial SSU rRNA". It matches the Rfam family "Bacterial small subunit ribosomal RNA", at positions 622 to 1008 of the family's 1533-position model. Lineage: Bacteria; Pseudomonadati; Pseudomonadota; Alphaproteobacteria; Rickettsiales; Candidatus Midichloriaceae. The record is from RNAcentral.